CCUACGGGGGGCAGCAGUGAGGAAUAUUGGUCAAUGGGCGCAAGCCUGAACCAGCCAAGUCGCGUGAGGGAUGACGGUCCUAUGGAUUGUAAACCUCUUUUGUCGGGGAGCAAGGCCCGCCACGUGUGGCGGGCAGGAGAGUACCCGAAGAAAAAGCAUCGGCUAACUCCGUGCCAGCAGCCGCGGUAAUACGGAGGAUUCGAGCGUUAUCCGGAUUUAUUGGGUUUAAAGGGAGCGUAGGCGGGUUGUUAAGUCAGUUGUGAAAGUUUGCGGCUCAACCGUAAAAUUGCAGUUGAUACUGGCAUCCUUGAGUACAGUAGAGGUAGGCGGAAUUCGUGGUGUAGCGGUGAAAUGCUUAGAUAUCACGAAGAACUCCGAUUGCGAAGGCAGCCUGCUGGACUGUAACUGACGCUGAUGCUCGAAAGUGUGGGUAUCAAACAGGAUUAGAUACCCCUGUAGUC
RNAcentral lists this ribosomal RNA (461 nucleotides) under uncultured bacterium. RNAcentral describes it as "partial 16S ribosomal RNA". It matches the Rfam family "Bacterial small subunit ribosomal RNA", at positions 338 to 795 of the family's 1533-position model. The record is from RNAcentral.